GUACGUCGGGGAGUUGAUCUCGGACGCGGAGGCCGACGUGCGCGAGGACGAUUCCUACCUGUUCGACCUGGACAACAAGGACGGCGAGGUGUACUGCAUCGACGCGCGUUACUACGGCAACGUCAGCCGCUUCAUCAACCACCUGUGCGACCCCAACAUCAUCCCGGUGCGGGUGUUCAUGCUGCACCAGGACCUGCGCUUCCCCCGCAUCGCCUUCUUCAGCAGCCGCGCCAUCCGCGCCGGCGAGGAGCUGGGGUUCGACUACGGCGACCGGUUCUGGGACAUCAAGAGCAAAUACUUCACGUGCCAGUGCGGCUCCGAGAAGUGCAAGCACUCGGCCGAGGCGGAGCCGGCGCCGGCGCCGGGCCGGGCGCCGCGGCCCGACGGGGCC
This is a long non-coding RNA of Rhea pennata, 391 nucleotides long. RefSeq lists it as uncharacterized. The transcript has 3 exons. The record is from RefSeq and is a predicted model, not a curated record. Lineage: Eukaryota; Metazoa; Chordata; Aves; Rheiformes; Rheidae.